UACGUAGGGUGCAAGCGUUAAUCGGACUUACUGGGCGUAAAGCGUGCGCAGGCGGUGAUGUAAGCCAGAUGUGAAAUCCCCGGGCUCAACCUGGGAACUGCAUUUGGGACUGCAUCGCUGGAGUACGGCAGAGGGGGAUGGAAUUCCGCGUGUAGCAGUGAAAUGCGUAGAUAUGCGGAGGAACACCGAUGGCGAAGGCAAUCCCCUGGGCCUGUACUGACGCUCAUGCACGAAAGCGUGGGGAGCAAACAGG
This 253-nucleotide ribosomal RNA is filed under the name uncultured bacterium. RNAcentral describes it as "partial 16S ribosomal RNA". It matches the Rfam family "Bacterial small subunit ribosomal RNA", at positions 524 to 776 of the family's 1533-position model. The record is from RNAcentral.